This 459-nucleotide ribosomal RNA is filed under the name uncultured bacterium. RNAcentral describes it as "partial 16S ribosomal RNA". It matches the Rfam family "Bacterial small subunit ribosomal RNA", at positions 338 to 795 of the family's 1533-position model. The record is from RNAcentral.
CCUACGGGUGGCAGCAGUGAGGAAUAUUGGUCAAUGGUCGGGAGCCUGAACCAGCCAAGCCGCGUGAGGGAUGAAGGUCCAGCGUAUCGUAAACCUCUUUUGUCAGGGAACAAAGGCGGGGACGUGUCCCCGGCUGCGUGUACCUGAAGAAAAAGCAUCGGCUAACUCCGUGCCAGCAGCCGCGGUAAUACGGAGGAUGCGAGCGUUAUCCGGAUUUAUUGGGUUUAAAGGGUGCGCAGGCGGUGUGUUAAGUCAGCGGUCAAAGCCCGGGGCUCAACCCCGGCCCGCCGUUGAAACUGGCAGUCUCGAGUUGGAGAGAAGUAUGCGGAAUGCGCGGUGUAGCGGUGAAAUGCAUAGAUAUCGCGCAGAACCCCGAUUGCGAAGGCAGCAUGCCGGCUCCAAACUGACGCUGAGGCACGAAAGCGUGGGUAUCGAACAGGAUUAGAUACCCUGGUAGUC